CCUACGGGAGGCAGCAGUGGGGAAUAUUGGGCAAUGGGCGCACGCCUGACCCAGCAACGCCGCGUUAAGGAAGAAGGCUUUCGGGUUGUAAACUUCUUUUAAGAGGGAAGAGCCGAAGACGGUACCUCUUGAAUAAGCCACGGCUAACUACGUGCCAGCAGCCGCGGUAAUACGUAGGUGGCAAGCGUUGUACGGAUUUACUGGGUGUAAAGGGCGUGUAGCCGGGCUGACAUGUCAGUGGUGAAAUUCCGAGGCUCAACCCCGGACCUGCAUUUGAAACUGUUGGUCUUGAGUAUCGGAGAGGCAGGCGGAAUUCCUAGUGUAGCGGUGAAAUGCGUAGAUAUUAGGAGGAACACCAGUGGCGAAGGCGGCCUGCUGGACGACAACUGACGGUGAGGCGCGAAAGCGUGGGGAGCAAACAGGAUUAGAUACCCUUGUAGUC
Molecule: ribosomal RNA, 442 nt
Filed under: uncultured bacterium
Lineage: Bacteria
Description: partial 16S ribosomal RNA
Rfam family: Bacterial small subunit ribosomal RNA
Source: RNAcentral